This 230-nucleotide ribosomal RNA is filed under the name uncultured bacterium. RNAcentral's name for it is "partial 16S ribosomal RNA". It matches the Rfam family "Bacterial small subunit ribosomal RNA", at positions 562 to 791 of the family's 1533-position model. The record is from RNAcentral.
AAAGCGCGCGCAGGCGGUUUUGUAAGUCUGAUGUGAAAUCCCCGGGCUCAACCUGGGAAUUGCAUUGGAGACUGCAAGGCUAGAAUCUGGCAGAGGGGGGUAGAAUUCCACGUGUAGCAGUGAAAUGCGUAGAUAUGUGGAGGAACACCGAUGGCGAAGGCAGCCCCCUGGGUCAAGAUUGACGCUCAUGCACGAAAGCGUGGGGAGCAAACAGGAUUAGAUACCCGUGU